GUCGGUUUGGUGUAGUGUUUGCACGCUGAUUUUUCGUGUCAGAGGGGGUUUUGUGACUGUCCGAUU
Molecule: non-coding RNA, 66 nt
Organism: Paragonimus westermani
Lineage: Eukaryota; Metazoa; Platyhelminthes; Trematoda; Plagiorchiida; Troglotrematidae
Source: the annotation of a GenBank genome assembly